This 253-nucleotide ribosomal RNA is filed under the name uncultured bacterium. RNAcentral describes it as "partial 16S ribosomal RNA". It matches the Rfam family "Bacterial small subunit ribosomal RNA", at positions 524 to 776 of the family's 1533-position model. The record is from RNAcentral.
UUCGUAGGGUGCGAGCGUUGUCCGGAAUUAUUGGGCGUAAAGGGCUCGUAGGCGGUUUGUCGCGUCGGGAGUGAAAACCUCGGGCUUAACUCGGGGCUUGCUUUCGAUACGGGCAGACUAGAGGUAUGCAGGGGAGAACGGAAUUCCUGGUGUAGCGGUGAAAUGCGCAGAUAUCAGGAGGAACACCGGUGGCGAAGGCGGGUCUCUGGGCCGAUACUGACGCUGAGGAGCGAAAGCGUGGGGAGCGAACAGG